GGCUACAACAGAGGACACAGGAGCUUUUCAGAACCCUCGUGUCUUGUGUUGCAGCCAG
This 58-nucleotide microRNA precursor is filed under the name Ornithorhynchus anatinus (platypus). RNAcentral describes it as "Oan-Mir-187_pre stem-loop". It matches the Rfam family "mir-187 microRNA precursor family", at positions 15 to 72 of the family's 81-position model. Lineage: Eukaryota; Metazoa; Chordata; Mammalia; Monotremata; Ornithorhynchidae. The record is from RNAcentral.